CCAAUGUGGGAAUCUUGCGUGUCAUGCAUGCAAGCUCCUCCCGAGUAGACCAGAGCUGAGUACGCCUACCUUGUACACCAAAUGAAGUGCAUUCUGUCUACAGCAUUGGAUAUUGAUACAGCUCGCUGUCAAUUUCAUUUUGAAAUUGAUUGGUUUGUAGCUGUGCUCUGCAUAUUCCAUUGCCUUCUCCUAGUCACUAUGUGACCAUGAUUGAGGAGACAAACCAUGCAGUUGACAAAU
This is a small nucleolar RNA of Rhopilema esculentum, 240 nucleotides long. RefSeq annotates it as small nucleolar RNA SNORA73 family. The record is from RefSeq and is a predicted model, not a curated record. NCBI's taxonomy places the organism in Eukaryota, Metazoa, Cnidaria, Scyphozoa, Rhizostomeae, Rhizostomatidae.